This 253-nucleotide ribosomal RNA is filed under the name uncultured bacterium. Its description in RNAcentral is "partial 16S ribosomal RNA". It matches the Rfam family "Bacterial small subunit ribosomal RNA", at positions 524 to 776 of the family's 1533-position model. The record is from RNAcentral.
UACAGAGGGUGCGAGCGUUGUUCGGAAUUAUUGGGCGUAAAGGGCGCGUAGGCGGUGCCACAAGUCACUUGUGAAAUCCCCGGGCUUAACUCGGGGCCUGCAGGCGAAACUGUGGUGCUGGAGUAUGGGAGAGGUGCGUGGAAUUCCCGGUGUAGCGGUGAAAUGCGUAGAUAUCAGGAGGAACACCUGUGGCGAAAGCGGCUCACUGGACCACAACUGACGCUGAGGCGCGAAAGCUAGGGGAGCAAACAGG